Molecule: unclassified non-coding RNA, 23 nt
Filed under: Mus musculus (house mouse)
Lineage: Eukaryota; Metazoa; Chordata; Mammalia; Rodentia; Muridae
Description: oocyte_clustered_small_RNA3173
Source: RNAcentral
UACAUGGGAGGCAUGGAUCCAGG